Molecule: ribosomal RNA, 247 nt
Filed under: uncultured Propionivibrio sp.
Lineage: Bacteria; Pseudomonadati; Pseudomonadota; Betaproteobacteria; Rhodocyclales; Rhodocyclaceae
Description: partial 16S ribosomal RNA
Rfam family: Bacterial small subunit ribosomal RNA
Source: RNAcentral
GUAGGGUGCGAGCGUUAAUCGGAAUUACUGGGCGUAAAGCGUGCGCAGGCGGUUUUGUAAGUCAGAUGUGAAAUCCCCGGGCUCAACCUGGGAACUGCAUUUGAGACUGCAAGGCUAGAGUGUGGCAGAGGGGGGUAGAAUUCCACGUGUAGCAGUGAAAUGCGUAGAGAUGUGGAGGAAUACCGAUGGCGAAGGCAGCCCCCUGGGCCAAUACUGACGCUCAUGCACGAAAGCGUGGGGAGCAAAC